RNAcentral lists this long non-coding RNA (2836 nucleotides) under Sus scrofa (pig). RNAcentral's name for it is "lncRNA (ENSSSCG00030066532.1)". The record is from RNAcentral. Lineage: Eukaryota; Metazoa; Chordata; Mammalia; Artiodactyla; Suidae.
UUCACUCCCCACCCCCAUCCCUCAGCAUCUGAGCUCUACCUGAGGGUGUCAAGUCACCUCUGUGAGCCUUGGUUUCCCCAUCUGUGAGCAGGUGGAUCUGAGUUCCAAGGUUCCUUCCAGCCAUCUGUGUGAGACACCCCCACACGGUGUCCAGUAACAGCAGGUGCAUAAUAAAUGUGUUUGUGGACCUACCCUCCCCAGUGCUGGGCACAAGGGCACACAGAGGAGAAAUAUGAGUAAAUGUCGCCUUUGUCCAGGAAAUGGGGACCCAGACCGCUGGACACACACCGGACAACAGCCGGCCCUCACAUUUGUGCUGGAUGGUACCGUCUACAAAGGGAUUUUGCUGCGUGUGCUGCUCCCUGUGAUUCUCAUGGAGGAAACUCCACAUCUCAGGCUGAGCACAGUCCUUUGCUGAGAUUUGAUGGGGGGGAAACACGAUCAUUGAUGCAACCCCCACCAUGAGCUGCUGCAAAGCCCUGGCAGAAAGAUGAGAUUGGCCUCAGAGCAACGUGGGGCUGCCCGGCCGCGGCCACUCCCUGAGCCUGGUGGGUAUACCUUAAUUUUAUUGAUGCAUCUUGUUUUGAGAGCCUCUCCUGCCCUCUGGGCUGCCCCCACCCUCACCCCCCACCCCCACUCCCACCCCCACCCCCCUGUUUGGCUAAUGAUAAGUGACAAGCAGUGGACAUUAUAAAUUAAACUGCCCCCGAUAGCCGGUGGUAAAACAGAAGGCCUCACGCAGAGGAGGCAUUCAAAGCAUUUGUGCCGUGUGCCCCCCACCCCCCACCUCCCCACUCUCCCCACUCUCCCCACCCCUGCUCAGGGCACAGGCCCCAGGCCCCAGCUGCCGAAGCCUCUCACAACAGACCUUCCGGUCUCUCUGGGCUCCGCUCUGUCAAAUGGAAAUCAGCAACACAGGCCACAGAGUAAUUAAACCGCUGGCAUUCUUUUGACAAAAAAUAUUUCUCUUGGGAUAUUCCCACAGGCCACUGAAGGACUGUCUGGGGCCUGCAAGCUCCCAGCUGAAUAUCAAGGGAGUUUUGAAAUUGGCCUUGACUCGGGAUCAAAAGGGGAUGGGAGUUCGGGGUGUGAAUAUGGGGGUGGGAAAUGCAUUAUAAUUAAAUUUAUCAUUUGGUCUUUCAGCUUGAAGCACCAACACCUGCUUCCCCAGGACAAAUAUGGACAGAGAAUAAAGAGAGACCUUCGAGGCCUGUUUAUUUAUAUUUCUAUUGUUUGUUCACUGAUGUGUCUGUAGCACCUAAACGGAGCCUGGCAAAUAGUAUAUGUUCGAUAAAUAUUUAUUGACUCAUCAGCUGGAGAUGUGUUGAUAUUUUUUUUUAUUUUUGUUGUUAUUGGUUUUAUAGCAGCACCUGCCACAUAUAGAAGUUCCCAGGGUAGGGGUUGAAUGGGAGCUUCAGCUGCCAGUCUCGGCCUCAGCCACAGCAACACUAGAUCCUUAACCCACUGAGCGAGGCCUGGUAUCAAACCUGCAUCCUCACAGAGACGAUGUUGGGUUCUUAACCUGCUGAGCCACAGCAGGAACUCCAUGAAAUCAGUUUUUCUUUUUUUUUUAGGGCUGUACCUGCGGCAUAUGGAAGUUCCCAGGCUAGGGGUCCAGUUGGAGCUACAGCUGCCAGCCUACACCACAGCCAUGGCAACACGGGAUCCUUAACCCACUGAGCAAGACCAGGGAUCGAACCCAAAUCUUCAUGAACACUUGUUGGGUUCUUAACCCACUAAGCCUAAUGAGAACUCCUUAUCCUGGUGUUCUGAUGCACAGCAGCGCCCAUACCCCAGCGUUUGGGGACCACUGCCUCAGCGCAUCCGCUCUUGUGCCCUCUGCAGACAGAAAAGAAAACUGAAGCCACAGAAGGUAUCAUUGCAAAGGCUCAAGGCUUUCUUCCCCUGGAGAGGGCAGAGGGGAAGGCCUGGCAUAGACAUUCAGCCUUGGCCUCUGGCCCCUAAACUCCAGCUUUUUCAGAUUCCCAGGGAAAUCCUGUCUUUCUCUUCUCAUUCAAGGGGGAAGCACAAAGUCAUGGGCAGGGACUCAGAAUGGCUGGGUGUGAAGCCCAGCUCGGCCACCCGCUAGCAGUGGGACCCAGCAGCUCUAGAAAAAUAAUCGGCAGACUGCUUAGAAAAUAUAUAGCCUGAGGAGUUCCCGUCGUAGCGCAGUGGUUAACGAAUCCGACUAGGAACCAUGAGGUUGCGGGUUCGGUCCUUGCCCUUGCUCAGUGGGUUAACGAUCCAGCGUUGCCGUGAGCUGUGGUGUAGGUUGCAGACGUGGCUCGGAUCCCGCGUUGCUGUGGCUCUGGCGUAGGCCGGUAGCUACAGCUCCGAUUGGACCCCUAGCCUGGGAACCUCCAUAUGCCGCAGGAGCGGCCCAAAGAAAUAGCAAAAAGACAAAAAAAAAAAAAAAAAAAGAAAGAAAAUAUAUAGCCUGAGAUGAAGUUUUUAUAAAGCCCUUAGCUCAAAAGACAGGGGAAACUGGGACACCAAAAGAAGCAAACAGGUGAUUAGGCAAAGAAAUCAUUAGAUAAAUCAGUUCCAGGUUAAUGGUUCCCCUCCCUCCAUGAUAUUGGGCACGUAACUUGUCCGUUCCAAACCCCGGCUUCUCCACCUGUAAACUGAGGCCAAUAAAACCCAUUUCACAGGAUUGUCGUUAAAGACAUUGCAAGACGGCGGGAGCUACGUGCCAGGUAAACAGUCAAUAAAUUCGACCUCCCUCCCUUCCUGAGCAUUCGGACCACACAGAGGCCUCCCCUGCUCUUGGCUUUGGCUUUGAGGAGCCUGUGGUCGUGGAGAGGAUUUCACACUGGAAGUACGUGCAUUCCAAAUU